RNAcentral lists this transfer RNA (65 nucleotides) under Dipodomys ordii (Ord's kangaroo rat). It matches the Rfam family "tRNA". Rfam says of the family: Transfer RNA (tRNA) molecules are approximately 80 nucleotides in length. Their secondary structure includes four short double-helical elements and three loops (D, anti-codon, and T loops). The record is from Rfam by way of RNAcentral. Lineage: Eukaryota; Metazoa; Chordata; Mammalia; Rodentia; Heteromyidae.
GGUGGCUCAGUGUUAGAGCGCUUGCCUUGCAUACAUGAGGCCCUGGGUUUGAUUCCCCAGCACCA